Molecule: long non-coding RNA, 904 nt
Filed under: Malus domestica (apple)
Lineage: Eukaryota; Viridiplantae; Streptophyta; Magnoliopsida; Rosales; Rosaceae
Description: long non-coding RNA (MDOM_LNC003946)
Source: RNAcentral
AUUCAUUUGCUAGUAAGAGGCCUCGAGUACCGACAUUCCUGGUCUGUCUUGUAACUGUCAAUGCAGUUAAACAGUCUCCAUGUAGUGAAGCCACAUGUUACCUAAGCAAGGAUAUGGAUAUGCUAUCAUUGAUAUGAGGGAACACUGAUGGGCCGCUGCAACUUCUAAAAGCAAGGUGAGAUACGUUAUACAUACAUCACAUAUAUUGAAACAGAUAAUGCCCGUUUUCAAGAUUUAUGUUAAUUAGGUUUUGAAUUGACCAAUGAUAUGCAUUGCAAUGUGUUAUAGACUAUAGUGAUUGCACUUACAGCAUAUGCUUAGUUUGUGCUAAAGAAAAACAUAAUACAGUCCAAAUGUCUGAAAAAUUGCCACUUAUUUUUGUAAAUUUGGAUAGUUUGUGUUUGCGGAGGACAAAUUAAAGUUCGCAUGUCCAGAAAAAUGCUUCUCAACAUAGUAAUUAGUUAUUUGUGUUGUUUUCUUUUUGCAGGCAGAGUUGAGGGCACUGGUAUUAACAAGUCCGUCCGUUUGUUUACUCAAUGGAUGAAUCUGAUGGUACCCAAUAUUGACCUUUGUUAAAGAUUUAUUACUUUCACUAGUGAGCAAGUGUAUAAUUGUCACAAAUGAAUGCUGAAUUGAAAGUUAAGUUAGUGGUAGUGAUUUGGCCGACUGUUAUGGCAUAUACUAUCAGAGACCGCUAAGUAGGGGAGAACCUUAGCUAUUCCUGAGUGUAUACACCCGAUUACAAUUAAGAUUUUCUCUAUUCAGUAGUACAACAACAACAACAACAACAAAGCAUUUUCCCACUAAGUGGGGUCGGCUAUAUGAAUCCUAGAACGCCAUUGCGCUCAUUUGUGUCAUGUCCUCCGUUAGAUCCAAGUACUCAAGUCUUUUCUUAGAGUCUCUU